GAAAUGCGAUAAGUAAUGUGAAUUGCAGAAUUCAGUGAAUCAUCGAAUCUUUGAACGCACAUUGCGCCCUUUGGCAUUCCGAAGGGCAUGCCUGUUCGAGCGUCAUUACACCAAUCAAGCCUGGCUUGGUAUUGGGCGACGGGGUGGUCCACGCCGCCCCCCGCCCCAAAGACCUUCCGGCGGGACGGACCGAAUCUCAGCGUUGUGCAAACUGGUCGCUGACGAGACGGGACGGCCGUGCCGUUAAAACCUUUCUUUGAGGUUGACCUCGGAUCAGGUAGGGAUACCCGCUGAACUUAAGC
RNAcentral lists this unclassified non-coding RNA (302 nucleotides) under plant metagenome. RNAcentral describes it as "partial contains 5.8S ribosomal RNA, internal transcribed spacer 2, and large subunit ribosomal RNA". The stretch from base 1 to 105 matches the Rfam family "5.8S ribosomal RNA", at positions 50 to 154 of the family's 154-position model. The record is from RNAcentral.